GAGUUAAGUUCUACUGAGAAGCACUCCCUUUGGUCCAUGGUGCCCAGAGUCAAGCUACAGCUCCAGAGAAUCAAAGUGCUCACGAAUAACUGGGGCCGCCUGCGCUUUGCGGGUGACCCUUUCAACCACAAGCAAAAGGG
This is a small nucleolar RNA of Fukomys damarensis (Damara mole-rat), 140 nucleotides long. The record is from Ensembl. Lineage: Eukaryota; Metazoa; Chordata; Mammalia; Rodentia; Bathyergidae.